This 663-nucleotide ribosomal RNA is filed under the name uncultured cyanobacterium. RNAcentral describes it as "bacterial SSU rRNA". It matches the Rfam family "Bacterial small subunit ribosomal RNA", at positions 100 to 797 of the family's 1533-position model. The record is from RNAcentral. Lineage: Bacteria; Bacillati; Cyanobacteriota.
GACGGGUGAGUAACGCGUGAGAAUCUGGCUUCAGGUCUGGGACAACCACUGGAAACGGUGGCUAAUACCGGAUGUGCCGAGAGGUGAAAGGUUAACUGCCUGAAGAUGAGCUCGCGUCUGAUUAGCUAGUUGGAAGUGUAAAGGACUCCCAAGGCGACGAUCAGUAGCUGGUCUGAGAGGACGAUCAGCCACACUGGGACUGAGACACGGCCCAGACUCCUACGGGAGGCAGCAGUGGGGAAUUUUCCGCAAUGGGCGAAAGCCUGACGGAGCAAUACCGCGUGAGGGAGGAAGGCUCUUGGGUCGUAAACCUCUUUUCUCAGGGAAGAACACAAUGACGGUACCUGAGGAAUAAGCAUCGGCUAACUCCGUGCCAGCAGCCGCGGUAAUACGGAGGAUGCAAGCGUUAUCCGGAAUGAUUGGGCGUAAAGCGUCCGCAGGUGGCGAUGUAAGUCUGCUGUUAAAGAGUCUAGCUCAACUAGAUAAGAGCAGUGGAAACUACAUAGCUAGAGUACGUUCGGGGCAGAGGGAAUUCCUGGUGUAGCGGUGAAAUGCGUAGAGAUCAGGAAGAACACCAGUGGCGAAGGCGCUCUGCUAGGCCGUAACUGACACUGAGGGACGAAAGCUAGGGGAGCGAAUGGGAUUAGAUACCCCNGUAGUCAA